Molecule: long non-coding RNA, 536 nt
Organism: Vespa crabro (European hornet)
Lineage: Eukaryota; Metazoa; Arthropoda; Insecta; Hymenoptera; Vespidae
Exons: 3
Source: RefSeq, a predicted model, not a curated record
UGAGAGUAAUUGGGUAAAAAUGGGUGCAAAAAUAACUUCGUAAGUUGCAUGAUGUAAAUCGGAGCAAAGUUUGUGAAUGGGUUUUAUAACUGAAUCAAGAAUAGUUUUGUCUUCUGUAAAUAAAAUAUAUCAUUGCAAAAAAGUUCGAGAAGCAAUUUUUUAUAUUGAUUAAAAGGUCCGGCCGUAUGACUUAAUAAUUUAUUAUUAGAUUCGAUUAUAUCGAUUACUAAGGAUUUUUCAAACUGGUGCACUUGUCCCAAGAAUUCUCCUAUAAAAUACAAAUACAAAUAAAAAAUAAAUAAAAAAAAAAAAAAAAAAAGAAAAAAGAAAAGAAAAAAAGACCAUGUAAGACCAUUGUAAUGAUAAUUAUUUGAAAAAUACCUAUACUUUGCAUUAAGAUUGUAAGGCAAAGCAGUGGUAAACAUACAUUUAACGCUUUAAGUAAACCUGGAUAGCCGCAGCCAUCGGUAAACAAUUUACAACGUUUAUUUGCUUCGUGAGCAUAUCCGAUGACUCUUGGAAUGCUAAGUGAUAGA